UAAUGUAGCUUAAUAAAAGUUUCUUGCUUACACCAAGAMUAUGUCUGUUAAAUCCGGAUCAUUUUGAG
Molecule: transfer RNA, 68 nt
Filed under: Cornufer acrochordus (Bougainville wrinkled ground frog)
Lineage: Eukaryota; Metazoa; Chordata; Amphibia; Anura; Ceratobatrachidae
Description: Platymantis acrochordus (Bougainville wrinkled ground frog) partial tRNA-Val
Source: RNAcentral